AUGAUAGUUAAUCUUUUACAGGUUGGGUGUUAUUUUGUUUUUGUGCUUUAUGACAAGGUUGGAUUUUGUGAAAACCUAUUAUGGCUCUUCUCCUGUAACAAAGUCUUCUCCUCCAACAUCAUUUCUCUUUUAAAAGAAAUAUUACAGAAGGAAGUUUGCGGCUCACUUGCUAGUAAUGGUGGCUGUAUCUUGAAAUCAUAA
Molecule: non-coding RNA, 201 nt
Organism: Vicia faba (fava bean)
Lineage: Eukaryota; Viridiplantae; Streptophyta; Magnoliopsida; Fabales; Fabaceae
Source: the annotation of a GenBank genome assembly